AGUGGCGAACGGGUGCGUAACACGUGAGCAAUCUGCCUCAAAGCCGGGGAUAACCUUCCUAACGGGGGGCUAAUACCGGAUGUGUUUACCGGAUGGCAUCGUCUGGUGAAUAAAGAUGGCGUGCUGAACGCUAUCACUUUGAGAUGAGCUCGCGGCCUAUUAGCUAGUUGGUGAGGUAACGGCCCACCAAGGCAACGAUGGGUAGCCGGCCUGAGAGGGUGACCGGCCACAUUGGGACUGAGAUACGGCCCAGACUCCUACGGGAGGCAGCAGUAGGGAAUAUUGCGCAAUGGGCGAAAGCCUGACGCAGCAACACCGUGUGAGCGAUGAAGGCCUUCGGGUCGUAAAGCUCUGUCAGGUGGGAAGAAACCCGGUUGGUAGAGAAUACCGGCCGGCUGACGGUACCACCAGAGGAAGCUCCGGCUAACUCCGUGCCAGCAGCCGCGGUAAUACGGAGGGAGCGAGCGUUGUUCGGAAUUACUGGGCGUAAAGGGCGCGCAGGCGGUUUGGUAAGUCAGAUGUGAAAUUCACCGGCUCAACCGGUCGAACUGCAUCCGAUACUGCCAGACUUGAGAUCAGUAGAGGAGAGUGGAAUUCCCAGUGUAGCGGUGGAAUGCGUAGAUAUUGGGAAGAACACCGGUGGCGAAGGCGGCUCUCUGGACUGAUUCUGACGCUGAGGCGCGAAAGCUAGGGGAGCGAACAGGAUUAGAUACCCUGGUAGUCCUAGCCGUAAACGAUGGGUACUAGGUGUUGGGGGUUUCCAUGCCUCCAGUGCCGAAGCUAACGCAUUAA
This 792-nucleotide ribosomal RNA is filed under the name uncultured bacterium. Its description in RNAcentral is "bacterial SSU rRNA". It matches the Rfam family "Bacterial small subunit ribosomal RNA", at positions 94 to 863 of the family's 1533-position model. The record is from RNAcentral.